UAAUGUGGAUCCCAGGGUAUUGCCAA
This 26-nucleotide non-coding RNA is filed under the name Mus musculus (house mouse). Lineage: Eukaryota; Metazoa; Chordata; Mammalia; Rodentia; Muridae. The record is from RNAcentral.